GGUUGCGAUCAUACCAGCACUAAUGCACCGGAUCCCAUCAGAACUGCGCAGUUAGCGUGCUUGGGCGAGAGUAGUACUAGGAUGGGUGACCCCCUGGGAAGUCCUCGUGUUGCAACCC
This 118-nucleotide ribosomal RNA is filed under the name Helianthus annuus (common sunflower). Lineage: Eukaryota; Viridiplantae; Streptophyta; Magnoliopsida; Asterales; Asteraceae. The record is from RNAcentral.